Molecule: long non-coding RNA, 539 nt
Filed under: Salmo salar (Atlantic salmon)
Lineage: Eukaryota; Metazoa; Chordata; Actinopteri; Salmoniformes; Salmonidae
Description: lncRNA (ENSSSAG00000120475.1, ENSSSAG00020063934.1)
Source: RNAcentral
UGGUGUCCCGUCAUAUUUCUCCGGGAGGUGUAGACGGGUAUCGCUGACCUGAGCGGUUUGCUGGAUGGGCUGGUGUGCUGACUCAUUGGGUAGACGGGCUCUAGAAUAUCCUCCGCUGUUGAGACAUUGUAGACUGCGGAGAACAUCUUUCAUGGCCGUCCCCAGUUGAGCCAGCUGAUCAUGGUGUUGACGAAGAAGUUAACCUUGUUCAUCGAUUGUCUGGGAGAUGUCCGGUUGUCCUGCUGCUUCCAUAUUGAAUAGUGUCUGGGACGCACAACAAAACUCCGCUAUUCGGAUAUAACGAUGGAUUAUUUUGGACCAAACCAACAUUUGUUAUUGAAGUAGCAGUCCUGGGAGUGCAUUCUGACGAAGACAACAAAAGUCCAACAGCUUUCCCAAUGCCUCCUGCACCUUCUGGACCACAAACGGAAUAUUCCUUCCUCUUUUCCAGAGCACCCCAUCAGCAAACAGGGAGAGGCCAAAACCAGGCCCGACAUCCUGGAACAUGUUAUUCAUCAUUAUAUUAAACAAAAUUGGAC